Molecule: long non-coding RNA, 19385 nt
Filed under: Ananas comosus (pineapple)
Lineage: Eukaryota; Viridiplantae; Streptophyta; Magnoliopsida; Poales; Bromeliaceae
Description: long non-coding RNA (ACOM_LNC043097)
Source: RNAcentral
UUUCGGGGCAGGGGCGUGACAGAUAUUAGAUGGGUUGUGCUCACCGAAGCGAUUAGGUUGCUUCCAUGCCAAAGUGAAGUAUGUGUCACGCCCCGGGACCGGCGGAGGCCCUCCCGGUGGCGUGCCCAGACCCGCCAUAUGUCUACACAUAUAAGGCGUCUACAAUAAAAGCGGAAGAAAAGCAAGAAAUAGAACAAAUAAAAGAAGGGAAAUAACCAGCAACUAAUGAUAUCAGAGCAAAUAUAGUUCUAACAUCUACACCAAAGUAAAGAGAUAAGGAUAGACAAUAAAGGAAAUCAUAAGUAGUACAAUAUCUGUCUCUAGUACAAAAAUGGUGGUCUCUAUACAUAUACGGGUACAACUCUGAACCUCUCACAAAAAGAUAGCACGAGAGGUAGACCACCUAUCGAACGAUCCCUCGGUAAGCACGCUAGCCCGAGGCGAUACCCUUUCCGCGAUCCCUGGCCUCUCCCUGAGUGGAAGGCUCUGAAAAACAUCGAGAAAAAGAGGGCGUGAGAACUAUAAUUUAUAGUUCCCAGUGGGCAAUUACUGACCUCAGCUCUUGCUCCACUAGGCCCCAAAAACAAGGGUAAGCAACGAUAAUAAUAAAGCAAUAUGGAGCAUAUAUAUAAACUGCUGAAAGAAAGCAUAAAUGAAAUGCUAGUCUACUAUGUCUCAACAUAAAAGCAAGUAAACCUCACGAUGCCAUAUAUCAACGCAUAAGGGUAAACUUUACACAAACAACCGAGUAUGCUACGAUGCGAUAAAGAAACCGGCAAGUAUACAAAAUGUACCAAUGCUAUAUCAUAAGCGUGUCCAAGUAAUCCAACUACUAAUCCUAUCUAGUAGUGACAGUUCAUAUUCGACACCGUGUCGAUUUCCAUUUCCAAUUAAGGACCUACCAAAAGUAGUCCAGCUUGUGCCGCCUAAGUGUCUGUGGUAGCCCGACAUCCCUACUCUUGGAAUGUGUCUGUCCCACUCGACCCCGUAGGCUUCUCAAUACCGCACGAGCGAACAUAGUCGCGUAGGCUAACUCCGGAGUGCCGGCUUGUAGGGAGCGACCCUCACAAGCAUGUACGAAUGAGCACAAAUGGCAAGCAAGCAUAAUCCAAGUCUCAAAUAUCCAAUCCUCAUGUCUCUAACAUGGUAUCAUAACUAGCAUCCCGAAGAUCUAGUCUAAGUCACAAAGUGAAGUUUCAACGGUUGCUACGCCUAGUGCCCCUUGAUGACACUUAGGCAAUUUGAUGUUCAACAUGUUUUCCAAAUCCCUCAAUGGCCCUAUCCACUAGGUUCACACAAGUCCUGAGCUCAAUGCCGCUUGAUGACAUUAGCUCUCCAAUUCACAUGAUAUCAAGUUCGAUGCCUAUAAUUGUAGCAAUUGUCAUCUUUCAUGUCCCAAUUAAACUUAUGUUUAAACGCAUGAAUCAUAACUCAUGUACUCUCUAGAACCAUGAAAUUAAACCUCAUAUAGAAUGCUAAAUGCAACCAAAGAUCUCCCAAGCAACUCUCUACUGCAUAGAGGUCCAAAAAUUCAUCAUAUAUAACUUAUGCACUUUAAGCAUUCUAAAAAUCAUAAUAAAUACAUUUAAUAUGAAAAUGCAUGAAUUAUUAGUAAACAAGGCACUUAUCACCAAAUAUGAGAUUUUCUCAUAUCAAAGGCUAGGUCAAACCCACCGACGACAACGAAGCUUUUCGUUUGCUCCAACGGAGGUUUCUAUAAGCUUUCUAGCACCCUAGGAACAUCAAAAAGAGUGUCAUCCAAACGAAACGGAGAGCGAAAAGCUCAAACAUUAAGCAUCUAGCAAGAUGGGCAAAACUCACCUCAAGAGUAGAAAUCUCUUCCUAUGCUCCAAAAGAGAGUUAGAACCCUUCCAAUCUAACCUAGGGGAAGGUUCUAAUCCAACCAAUUGAGCCUCAAAAGCCCUAAAACGAAAAUGCCCAAAAUAAACCCUAGAAUCCCAAAUCUAGGGUUUCAUCUCAAUGAAACCUUUAAAAACCAAGAUUAGAAGAAAGGAUCUUGCCACUUACCUCUUAGAAGCUUCAAAAUCAGCUCAAAGUUCUCAAACUUCAAGUAUCUUCCCUCAAUCAAACUCCAAAUCCAAGUUCCAAGCUCCAACAAUGGUGGAAAUAGCUCCAAUAGGGAAAAAGAGAGGGAAAUCCAUCAAAAUCCAAGAAAUUGGAGAUCAAAUCCAAAUAGGGGAAAAGAGGGGCUCCUUACCUUGCUCCUCCUCAGGUUCCAGCACAAGGGAGGCCCUAUGGGGCGUGGGUGCUGUUAUAAGGGUGCCACAAUCGCAAAUAAGCCCCUGCAGAACAAACUGCACGAAAUCAGCCUCCUUGUACCGGUACACGGGAUCUUGUACCGGUACAAGGGCUGCGAAAAUCCAAAUCCGAGGCUCAGGUGCGCGGUCCUGCGGCACUGUACCGGUACAAGCCCGAUGGCUGUACCGGUACAACCAUCAACAUUGUACCGGUACAAGACCAUCCUUGUACCGGUACAAGACCUGCGAAAAUGCAAACCGAGGCUCGGGUUUGCGAGUUCUCGGCUCUGUACCGGUACAAGCACAACCUUGUACCGGUACAAGCCCGCCAGACAGCCAAUCCGAGAGCUGACCAAAAUCCAAAUUUUUGGGUUUUGGUGCAGGGCUUCGUACCACACUCCUCGGGACAUGUGCCUUGGGUCGGAACACAGUCAACGACCUACCAGAAAUCUGGAAAAAGCUCAGAACACGACCAAUCACUCGAACCUCGCAUUUUGCAAAGGUCUAGUGUGUUACAGUAUGUUUCAUUUUGAUGCAUGAAGUGGUAGUAAAAUUGCCAAGUGAAUGUAUAGGAUAUAUGCUAAUUGGGUAUGCAUGAGUUAAAUGCUAAAUGAAUGCAUGUGAUAGAUGCUAAAUAAUGCAUGUGAUAUGUGCCAAGUAAUGAAUGCAAGUAAUGGUAGUCUACAUUGUAAAUGAUACAUGAGAUGUAUGCUAAUUAGGAAUGCAUGAUAAAGAUGCUAAUUAUGAAUGCAUGAAGUAGAGGCUAAUAAAGAAUGCAUAGAAAGUAUGCUAAGUGAAUAUAAGGGCUAAAUACUAAAUGAAUGUAUAAGAUGUAUGCUAAGGAAUGCAUGGGAUAUGUACUAAUGAUGAAUGCAUGAUACAUAUAUGCUAAUAAAGAAUGCAUGAGACAUGUUGAUCACCAUUGAAUGAUAAAGACAUAGGCACGAGUAAGCAUAAAAGGUAUGUAUGCCUAGAUGUAAAUGUCAACUAAGAAUCCUAGGUAUGGACAAUUAGGAAAAUGUGAACAUUGUGUGACAUGUCAAUUAAGAGUCCUAAGUGUGAAUAAUUAGGAUGGCAAGUAUUGUGAAUGGCAUUGUAACCUAGUGUUGUUGAACAUAGGUGAAUCACGAGUGGCAAAGAACCUAGAGUUAAAUAAACCUACGUGAGUGGCAUAAAACCUAGUGUCAUUGAACAUAGGUUAAGAAUCAAACCUAGACUCAAGUAAACCUAGGUUAUGAAUAUAGUGACAUUGAACCUAGAGUCGAAUGAACCUCGGUAGUAAAGAACAUAGAACCUAGUGUUGUAGAACCUAGGCUAUGAGCUUAGUAGCAUUAAUUAGACCUAAUGUUGUAAACCUUAGGUUGAGAAAUGGCUUGGACCUAAAUAGGUCAACACUAUAGGGUAUAAGACCAACCCUAGAGAUGUGAAUGUGGAUUCUGGAAACCCUACGAAUGAAGGCUGCUAGUAUAGCGGAUAAGACUUGCGACGAAAUGCAAGUAAAUCAGAACUGUGGGUAUGUUGGUUCUCCUCGCCCGACAGUGAUUCAACGGGUAUGUUGGUUCUCCUCGCCCGGUAAGUGGAAUAGUAAAUAAGAAUCAUAACUGCGGGUACGUUGGUUCUCCUUACCCGGUAGUGAUUCAAUGAGUAUGUUGGUUCUUCUCGCCCGGUAUGCCAUGAGAAUGUGAACGCGGGUAUGUUGGUUCUCCUCACCCAUAAGUCCAUUGAGCGACUUGAGGUCCGGGGUUCAACGGUAUAUGUUGCAACACACUGGACCUUUGCAAAUUGCGAGGUUCGAGUGUUUGAUGAAUGUUCUGAGUUUUUCGAGAUAUUCUGGAGGGUCGUUGACAGUGUUCCGACCUAUGGCUCGUAUCCCGAAAAUUGUAGUAUUUAAAAUAGCGCUAAGGUCACCAAAGCGAUGGACUUAGGCUGCUCUCGGGUUGCAGUUUUCUGGAAAGUGUACCGGUACACCUUGAUGGUUGUACCGGUACAGAAAGUGUACCGGUGACAACUUGAUGGUUGUACUGGUACAAGUGGAAUUUUCCGCCAACCCGAGCCUCGAGUUCGCACAUACGCGGGAUUUGUACCGGUACACCUUCCCGUGUACCGGUACACUUUGCUCUACAAGCUGUUUUUGUAGAGGGGUGUUUUUGCAUUUGUUACAACACCUAUAUAACUCACCCCAGCUCCCUUUGGAGCUCUUUUGAGCUCAGACCAGAGGAGAAACAAAGUGAGCCCUUUCCCCCCUUGUUUGAUUUCCAUUUUUGAUGUAUUAUUGCAUGUUUUGAUCUCCUCUCUUGCUUUUCCUUGCUUUUUGUUGGUUUCCUCCAUGGGAGAAGCUUGGAUUUCGGGAUUGGAGCUUGUUUGAGGUUUGAUCUUCAACCCUAGCUCACUUGCUAGCUUGAAUUGGUGUUUUGAAGAGGUUAGUAAGUUUAACCUACCCUUUAAUUCAUGUUUUGAAGGGUUUUUGCUAUUGGAACCCUAGAAAUGAGAGUUUAGGGUUUAAAAUAGAGAUUUUUGAGUUGAGGCUUUUUGAUCUUAAUUGAUUGACUUAGAACCUUCCUUUAGGUUGGUUUUGAAGGAUUCUUGCUGUAACACACUGGACCUUUGCAAAUUGCGAGGUUCGAGUGUUUGAGCUGUGUUCUGAGUUUUUGCAGAUUUUCUGGAGGGUCAUGGACAGUGGUCCGACCCAUGGCUCGCAUCCUGAGGCAUAUGGUAUUUUAUGUAGCGCUAAGGUCACCAAAGAGAUGGACUUAGGCUGCCCUCGGAUUGCACUCUGCACAUGGUGAAACCGGUAACAGGUCGCUGGUUGUACCGGUACAUGAUUUGUACCGGUACACCUUGAUGGUUGUACCGGUACACUUCUAUUUUUCUUCCAACCCGAGCCUCAGGUUUGCAUUUUCGCGGGAUUUGUACCGGUACACUUUCACGUGUACCGGUACACUUUGGCAGAUUUUGAACAGUUUGAACUGCAGGGGUGUUUUUGCAAUUGUGGCCUUCUAUAUCACCACCCACGCCCCUAGGGCUCUCCCCUGUGCUGAGAUCAGUGGAGACAAGGUAAGAGAAGCUCCUCUUUGCUUACUAUUUGAAUUUGAUCCCCUUUUAACUUGAAUUUUGGUGGAUUAAACCUCUUUUUUUGCUUUUUUUUUUGCUUGUUGGAGGCUUUCCUACCAUUGGGCUUGGAUUUGAAGCUUGGUUAAGGGAAGAUCUUUAAAGUUUGAGAUCUUUGAACCUUGUUUGAAGCCUCUAAAAGGUUGGUAGCAAGAUCUUAUCCUCUAGAUUUGGUUUUUGAAGGUUUCUUUGAGAUAAAACCCUAGAAUGAAAACCUAGGGUUGAUUUUGGGCAUUUUUUUAUUUAGGGCUUUUAGGGCUCAAUCUCUUGGAUUAGAAUCUUCCAUUAGGUUGGAUUGGAAGGGUUCUAGCUCUCUUAUGGAGCUUAAGAAGAGAUUUCUUUGUUGAAGGUGAGUUUUAGCCCUUUUGUUGAGACGAUUAAAGAUCGAGCUAGGGAUUGUUCGUAACGUUCGUUUCUCUCUUCUUUCCUUACCUUUAGGGUGCUAGAGGACUUGGGGACAACUUCGUUUGAGCUUACGAAUGGUUCCGAAACGCUUCGGUGGGUUUGACCUAGCCACACAAUGAGAAAAUCUCAUUUGUGAUGAUUCGAGUAUCGUAAAAUAAGAAAACAUGCAUAAUCAUGUUAGAUGUAAUAUUUAUGAAUUUUAAAAUACUUAAAAUGCCUAUGUUAUAUAUAUUGUAUUUUCGGACCUCUAUGAAGUAGAGAACUUGCAUGUGAGGCUUAUGUGUGCAUUAGCAUUCUUUUGGGAGACUUGGGUUCCUAUUUAUUUAGUAGUAUUGAUAUAUGUAAAGUGCCAUUGGACUUAAACCCUAGUUGGACAUGGAACUAUUAUAAUGCCAUAAAGGGGCAUUGGACUAGAUUAGCAUGCGAAUUAGAAAGCUAAUGUCAUUAAGCGGUAUUAAGCUUAGGUUAUGGUGUACCUAACGGAUAGGGUCAUUAAGAGAAUUGGAACAUGCUUGAACAUCGAAAUGUCUAAGUGUCAUAAAGGGGCACUAGACUUAGUAAAUGUUGAGACUUCACAUUGUGACCUAGAGCUAGAUCAUUGAGAUGCUAGUGACUAUUACCAUGUUAGAGACAUGAGGAUUGGGUACUUGAGACGAAGUUUACGCUUGCUUGCCAUUUGUGCUCAUUCGCACAUGCUUGUGAGGGUCGCUCCCUACAAGCCGGCACUCCGGAAUUGGCCUACGCGACUUAUGCUCGCUCGUGCGGUAUCGAGAAACCUACGGGGUCGGGAGGGAUAGACUCAUUCCUAGAGUGGGAAUGCUGGAGCUACCACUGACACUUAGGUGGCACAAGCUGGACUACAUUUAUGUAGGUCCUAGAACAUGAUUAAACAAUGACAUUGAAUCAGGAAAUGACAAUCACUACUAGAUAGGCUUAGUAGUUUGAUUACCUUGACAUGCUUAUAGCAUAGUGUUGGGACUUGUAGUAUAUAUGAUAGUCUUAUUUGUUGCAUCAUAGUAUACUUGGCUGCCAUGAUAGAGCAUAUUCAUCAUAUAUUUAUAUAGUGGAUCAUGAUACCUACUUGCUCGUUAUGUUGGGACGUAUUAGUCAUGCUUGGACAUACUUCAUUUUGAUAAAGUAGAUGUACAACACAUUGACAUCAUGUUUAUUUGCGACAUAUAUAAUAGCUUAGCAUUUUAAUUAUGCUUUCAUAAAUGCAAUCUAUUUAUUAUUAUUGUUACUUUUUGGACUUACCCUUUUCUUUUGGGGCCUAGUGGUGCAUUAAGCUGAGGUCAGUAAUUGCCCACUGGGAACUAUAAAUUAUAGUUCUCACGCCCUCUGUUUUAUGUCUUAUUUCAGAGCCUUCCACGCUGGGAGAGGCUAGAGACCGCGGAAAGGAUAUCGCCUCGAGCUAACUUGCUAUCGAGAGACGCGUUGAUAGGUGGUUUACCUCUCGCUAUUUUCUUUUUAGAGAGGUUACGAGUUGUAUCCAUGUGUAGUGACUAUCCUUUUGUGUACCCCUUUUUGGAUAUGGUUAUGGUAUAACUUUAUGAUUCACUUUUAUUUUUAGUAUUUUUCCUUCCACCUUGUUAUAGAUGAUAGAACUAUUCUUACUCUGAUAUCUCUAGAUGUAGAUUACUUUUGGCUUUAUUUUUCGCUGUUGUUGUAGACGCCUGAUAUGUAUUGACAUAUGGUGGGUCUGGGCGCGCUACCGGGAGGGCCUUCGUCGGUCUCGGGGCGUGACACUUGCUCUUUUUGGGAGAUCAAGAAGCAUUUUCACCAUUUUCGGUGAGUUUUUGCCCUUUUGCUUGAGUUGUUUAAUGUUCGAAUCUAGGAUUGUUCGUAAUGUUCGUGUAUCCCUCCUUUUGUUACCUUUAGGGUACUAGGAGAGUGGUGGACACCUUCAUCGGAGCAAACGAAGGGUUUCGUGAAGUCACGGUGGGUUUGGCUUCAUUGGAAUAGAAGGAAACUCCUCCUAAGUGGUUAAAUAUUUUCGUUUCAUUGCAUCGCAUGCAUAUCCAUGCUAGAUAGAAUUUACGUGAAUUUUAGAAUGCUUAAAAUGCAUGUGUUAUGCAUUAUGAAAAUUCGUCUCUCUAUAGUAGAGCCUUAUGUGGAUUAAUCAUGCAUGUGAGUAGCAUUCUUUUUGGGUAUUGGAAAUAUGUCUCGUAUGACGAAAAUGACUCUAAUUAUGUAUUCUUGAAUACUAAACUCAUGCUUGGACUUGGUGAACAAAAGUGCCAUAAAGAGGCACCGACUUAGUAAACUGUGAAACUGCAAUAUAGAGACAUAGUGAUAGGCCAUUGUGACAUCUACUAUAUUCCAUGUUUUAGACAUGAUGACAUAGUGAUAGGCCAUUGAGACAUAUGUUAUAUUCUAUGUUUUAGACAUGAGGACUUGAAACUUGAGACAGACUUAUAUGCUUACUUCCCUUUGUGCUCAUUCGCACAUGAUUGUGAGAGUCGCUCCCUAUAAGCCGGCACUCCGGAGAUAGCCAUCGCGAUACAUACUCGCCGUGCGGGAUUGGGCGCCGAAGUGGAUUGCCGUGGGCAAGGCUCAUUCCUAGAGUGGGGAUGUUGACUACCACGGAGCCAUUAGGCACGGCACAGGCCAGACAGCCCACGGGUGGGUCUUCAGGCCAGACAGCCUACGGGCGGGUUUUACAAGAUUGGAACUUUAAGUAGUUAACAUGCCAUGUGGACAUUGACUAGAAUAGUAAACAUUGACAUUUUACUAUUUCGUUGUAGACAUCAUGUUAGUCGUAUAUUUUCCGCCUAUUCAUUUAUAGAAUAGCUUCUUACUUACGCAAUUUCAUGCUAAGUAGAGAUAUCAUGUUAUAGUAAGUUUACAUGUUUAUUUACAUGUCGUUCAUAUCGCUUUUACUUAUUUACUUACCUGUUUAGUUUUGGGGCCUAGUGGUGCACCUAUCUGAAGUCAGUAAUUGCCCACUGGGAACUAUUAUUUAAUAGUUCUCACGCCCUCUGUUUGAUGUUUUUUUCAGAGCCUUCAGCACCGGCGGAGGCACGGGAUUGCGGCAAGGAAGUCGCAUAGCUAGUUAACGCGGAGCUUGCUUUUGCUCCUAGGUGGUCUACUUUCUUUUUGUGUUUUUUUGUGAGAGAGAUUUUGUUACCAUGUACAGGGACCAUCAUUGUACCACUUAUAGCACUUGUACUUGGAUUUUUAUUGUUCUACUUUAUGGUUUAAUUUAGUGAAUUUUAGCUUUUGUUGUACUCUCAUGUUGUAGAAUCUAGUAGUACUUUACUCUGAUAUCGCUAGAUCUCUUUGAAUUAUUAUUUUAUUUAUUGCUUUAUCGUUGACGCCUUAUAUGUUUUAGACAUAUGGCGGGUCUGGACACGUGCCGGGCGGGCUUCCGCUGGGCCCCGGGGAGUGACAUAUCCUCACCCUGUGAGUAGACCCAUAGUCGAGAGGAUUUAAGGUUGAGGUGCAUGUAAGACUUCCUUCGCCUCGAGCCGACAGAGCGCGGACUAUCCGCGGUGGAUUGACCCAAGAACGAGUCGAGUAGUAUAGUUGGCUAAGGUAAAAGUAACCUUAGGAAAGAAUGGCCAAUGAGUAUAGUAUGACUAAGAAUAAAGAAUAAAGAACGGCUAAUGUUAAAGAAUAGAAAAUGCUAAAAAAUAGCUAAUAAUGUAAAGAAUGAUUAGCGAUAAAGAAUGGCUAAUAGUAAAGAAUGGCUAACAGUAAAGAAUAGCUAAGAAUAAAGAGUAGAAUCAGUUAAUCUACUUGUAUGAGUUGCAUGAUUUGCAUAUUGCAUAUUGUGAGGCAUGAACAUGAUAAAUGUUAGUUGCAUAAAUUAUAUAUAUCUGUGGAUAUUCGUUGGACUAACAUGUUUGGAGUACCUCCUUUGGACCUGGUGGAUCGAGCUUUCUCCUUGGGUGGCCGUACACACUGGAAACUAUGGACAAUAGUUUUCACCCCCAUAUUGUUUUUGGGGAUUACGGUUUACACGCGAGCGGCGCGGCAGCGCGAGGAAAGGGCGUAGCUCCGUAGUUAGCGCCCAACCCCCGAGACCUGAGAUAGUAGUACCCUGAGUCGGCUACUUAGGGAUGUAAAAGAAAAAAAAAGAACAAAACUGUAAUAAUCUUGUUAAAACUAGAUUGUAUUUGGAAGCUUAAAAGAGAAUGGAAAGUGUAAAAUGUGAUGUAAAAUGUAUUUAAGUUGAAUGCUUGUAUAGCAUAGUGUUUAUAUUUUUGAUACCUUCCUUAUGCAAUCUUUGUUUGUAUGUUGUUCCUGGUUGCAAGGUUGAAGGUGCCGCCCCGUGCCGUACGGCACGGGGCGUGCCGUACCGUGCCCCCAAGAAGGGGGCACGGUACAGGGGGGGUCUCGGACCCCCCUGGGUGCCGCGGCACAAGCCGCGUGCCGCUCGAGACAAAGCGGCACGCGGCCAUGUGCCGCGGCACUGUGCCGCGUGCCGGCUUUUUUUUUUUUUUGGCUUUUUUUUUUGGCUUUUUUUUUUUGGUUUUGUCUCUUUUUUUUUGUUCUCUGGGAUACAGAGCCUUCGCCCGGCCAUCUAUAUUGCCUUUUGUUCACUUUUCUUUUAUUUUUUUGACAUUGUGUUGUCUUUUGUCAACUUUUUUUUUCUUUUUGGCUGAUGCCUUUUUUUUUUUUUUUGCCUUUGGCUUUUUCUUUUGACUUUUUCUUUUUCUUUUGUUAAAUUAAAAUUAUAAUUUAACUUCUUAUUUAACAAUAUAAGCAAACAGACAUCCAUUUUUUCUUCGCAAAUUAUUUUGUCAAAUUUGUCGCACCGCGAAGUUUUCGAUGAAUCAGGGGAACAAAAAUUGAUCUCCUAAACAAAUUUUGAUUAGAUAUUUUUUAAAAGAAUAAAAAAUUAUGGAUGUAUUGCGGUACUAUUCUCGUUGUUCAGUUAUUAUAUACUUCAUAAUCGAAUCAAUAUAUAAGAUUUUGAAACGUUUUUAGAAAAAUAAAAUUUUCUAUCAUUUUAUCUGUUAUAAUUUUUUAAAUUACAAAAAAAUUAAAAACAAAAGAAUUUUCAAUUGUUACAGCAAGUAUAGUUGUACUUUUCAAAUAAAAAAAAAUAAAAACAAAAGAAUUUUAAUUUAUAUUCUACAUCAGGUAUAGUUGUACUUUAUAUACAAAAUGCUUACAUGCAUGUUAAUUGAUGAGUAUAAUAAGCUAUACAUAGCAAAAAUUAAUAAUAACUUGCCUAAAUCUUUCAAAAUAACAUUAUAAAAGCUUACUGGAACCAAAAAAACUUAAAUAAAUUCGUGCCAAAGCGUGCCAGUAGGAGGUCGUGCGUAUCUGUCGGCACGCAAGCGUGCCACGUGUCGGCACGCAAGCGUGCCCGUGCCGUACCGUGCCAAGGACGUAGCGGCACGCCCCCGUGCGACGGCACUUUAAACCUUGCCUGGUUGGAACCUCGCGCAUUGUAUGGAUUGUGACGCCUUGGACGUACAGGGAAGACUCUGUCCAUGGUACAGGAAAAAUUCUGUCCGUUCAGCGGUCUGUCGGCGUGCCCGAACCGACCAAAUAGGCAGGCUCGGUGCAUGACAAUGUUGCUGCCAAAAUUGCAGAACUUGCACUGGGUACCGAUACCAACUCAGGGGAGUACCGGUACCCAGACCCGAGAUGGACUAAACUGUAAAGAUUAAUUACAGAUUUUGUGUGGGGGUUAUGUGCUAUUGUCUGAUCUUAUCUAUACCCCUGGACACUUCACCAAUUUCAUACAUGCCAGGCCUUCCCUUCUCUCCUUCUCUUCUUAUCUCUUCUUCUUCUCUCUCUAAAAACCAUACGAAGUGGAUUUUGAAGGAGAAGUUGGUGGAUUUGGUGUUUUGAGCUGAGAAGAAUUUCAGCAGCAGGGAGAAAACCUAGUGGAGAGUGAAUUCUGAGGUGAGGUUAUUAUAUCUCUUGAUUAGGGUUAUGUUAUUUACCUUAAAUAGGGUUGAGCUUGGUUUUCUAGGUUGCUUGAAGUGGUUUUGCCAUGAUAAACCUAGAGAAAGAUUGUAUCAUGUGCAGUAAUAUGUGAACUCUUGGGUUGAUAUGAAAGUUGUUGGAAUAUAAACAUAGCUUGAGUUUGAUCUCUUAUAUUCCUAAAUUACUUGGUUUUGAGAUUCUUAGAAUUGUUGAAGUUAAACUACUCUAUAUGUUCUUAUAGAACCUGUGUAGAAAGAGGCUAUGUAGAGCUAAAGCUCAAAAAUACAAUUUUGUAGGAUUGGAGGCCUAGCUUGAGAUUGAUCGCAUGAAAAUCUAAUUGAGGGUAAAACCGACGUGUUGGGAUACUCGGGACGGUGUUCCGACGAGCCUAUGGCAAGUUAUUGAGGAAAAACCUCAUUUUAGUUUCGUUUGUCGCGAGCGAGGGGUGUGAUCGUUUAUAAAUCGCGGGAAGUGGUUUUCUCGCAUUCCGGCAUUAUUUAAAGGUGGGUUGUCACGACCCGCGACCACCCGCCUAUUUGGCCGAGGUCGCGGCGCCGACAGCGCCGAAUGGACAGAGUUUUCCCUGUACUACGGACAGAGUCUCCCCUGUACAUUCAAGGCAUCGCAAUCAAUACAAUACAAUGGUCCCAACGAGGAACAGUAUUCAACAAACAGAUUGCAUAAGGAAGGUAUCAACAACAUAUCACAUCCUAUGUUAUUACAUACAUGCACAUUCAUUGGUUUUACAUCACAAUUCUCAUUUGCUUUCCUCCAAAUACAAUCUAGUUAUUACAAACUUAUCUACAAAUUGAUACAUUGUGUUCUCUUCAUUUUCUAUACCCCUAACCACGUCGACGGGGUACUGCUAGCUCUGGUCUCUGGGUAGGACGCUAUCUACUGAGCUACGCCCUUUCCUCGCGCCGCCGCGCCGCUCACGUGCGAACCUGUAACACCCCAAAACAACGUGGGGUGAGAACCAACUCCAUGGUUCCCAGUGGGUACGGCCACCCAAGGGAAAAGCUCGACCAAAAGGUCUAAGUAGGCCCUGCAACAUGUUAGUUCAACAAUAUACAAUGCAAAUAUAUUCAAUUGAAAUACAUGUUAGGCCUAACAAUAUGCAAUAUGCAAGUCAUGCAACUCUAUGCAAUAUCUAGUAGAUCAUUUGAAUUCUACUUUUACUUAGCUACCUUAGCUCACAUUUCUUUACUCUAAGAUUUCUAUUACCUCAGUUCACAACUAAAGUUCACUUUGUUUCUAAGGUCUCUAUUACCUUAGUUCUUACCUUUAUCACUGGCUUUCAAGGUUUCUAUUAACCUAAUCAAGCUAACCACCCGACUCGGUCUCGAGUCAAUCAUCCGCGGAUAGUCCGCGCACUGGCUGCCCUCUAAGACUUAACCAGCUGGCGGCGAAGUCGUCGCACACGCCGAACACUGGUUCAAGUCCCUCGACUUGGCCAUCUGGCGGCGAACGAAUCGCACCUCACCCAACAAUGGCUCAAGUCGAUCUGGCGGCAUAAUCCACAACUUGGCUUAACCAUCCGGCGGCGAAAUCGUCGCACAUGCCACGACAAUGGUUCAAGCCCCGGGCGGUGAUCUCUGCACAUUCACCCCCAAUCCAUCCUUGGUAUCAACCUCGGCGGCGAAAUCGUCGCACACGCCCUAGCCUUGAUACCAAGGUCAUCAUAGGUCCUAGGAUUCCGGAAUCUACUUACACAGGUCGAGGGUCCAUAACCAACCCUAUGCUGUCGACCUAAUACAACCUAGUGGUUGCUACCACUAUACACAACAACCUAGGUUCAAGCCACUCUAGGUUUACUAUAUCACAACCUAGGUUAUAAACUCUAGGUUUACUAGUUCAACCUAUGUUCACUGACACUAGGUUCAACAUCACUAUGUUCGACCUAUGUUUAUCAACACUAGGUUAGAUGCCACUCGAUCUAGUUCACAUGCUAAUUGUCCAUAGCAAGUAUUACAGUUAUACAAAUCCUAUUUUCCAAUGUUAUCUUUCUAAUAAAGCUAGAAUUAUCAACCAAGUUUAUAUGCAUAUAUAAUCUCACAAUGCAAAGCAUGCAUUUAUAGUCUCACAUAUCAUUUAUAUGCAUCUACUUAGCAUUUGCAUCAUACUAUUAUAUGCAUUAUCUAGCAUUAUGCAACUUGCUCAUUAUGCAUUUCUAGUUAGCAUUUACAUUAACAUGCAUUAUUUAACUUGCUCAUUAUGCAUUCCAAUUAGCACUUCUACAUUACAUCACUUAGCAUUAGCUACAUGCGUCAUUUACAUUUAUAUGCAUCAACAAGGUACAUAAAGGCGACCUAGUCGCUUCGGUAAGCACAACCCACCUUAACUCGCGUUCCGAUUGCUUGUCGACACUUGCAAUCGGCCUCCCGCGGCACUCGUAUCCGGCACGGCCCGAUAUUGCAACUGCGCCUCAACCGUGCUUCGCUUCACAGCCCCGGAAAUUAUAGGUCUUCGGUUAUGUGCCACGGUGCUCCAAAUCCAUUUCCACGAUUUUACGACGUCGCCUCGGCCCUCCAGGCGGACCCGAAGCCUAAACGUCCAUUUCUUUAAUAACUUUGUGACGGCUCGUCGGAUUGCCGAACCGUCUUCGCCAACGCGUUUCGUUACCUAGCAAUUAGAUUUACGAAGGGUCAAAUGAGAUCAAACCCUCAUAUUUUAAAAGUUCGCAUUUUGGAGCCCUAGAUUACAACUAUACAAGAAAUCUCUAAAUUGAUCCAUGAUUCAAGCAUUAAUCAUCUAGAUAGGAUGCUAGGACUUCUCUAAAUCCAUUUAUAAGGUAUUUAAACCAAGAAUUAAAGAUCUACCAUUAAAGGGCUCAAGAAGCUCACCUCAAAAUGAGCUCCAAAUCAUGGAGAAGAAGAAGACGAAGGCGAUCCACCUCCAAGCUUCAAUCUCCACCAAAUCCAUCCAUUUUGGGAGAGAUUUAGAGAGAGAAAAGAGAGUUUCUCUCUCUCCCUCCAUGCGCGUGCGUGUGUGUAUGUGUGGUGGCAGCCACGGUUGGGAGGAAGAAGAAUAAAAGGGUUUAAGCCCCUUUUUACCAUUUUGCCCCUCAACUACGCACCAUUCACUUCGGGCAGUUUAUUUUUCACUGGAGCCCUUCUGAACGUCCGUUUGAACUCAAAUUUGACAAGCAUGCUCGGUUUUACUUAAUAAGUCCAAAGAAAUUUUAAUAUUUUAGUUUCGACCCCGUUUGGUCACUGAAAACUGUACCGAACUGCAAUCUUUAUCAGAUAGCUUUCGGAUUCUAUUUCUCUCUCUACGGGUGUCAGAAUGGUAUGAAACUUUAAAUCUAGCCUCUUUUCAUAAUUUUCUGACAUUGUGCAUUUUCUGCUAAUUUAUCUGCCCCGUUUCUCACAGAAAAUGCUAAAUCUUCUGUUUUCGCUCCGAUUUCAGCACAGGUCACUCCCAACCUAUAUUUCGCUUCUCUAAAUCCGAUAAAAUAGUAUCUCAUACUAGUUUUAUUUAUUUUCACUUUUCUACUUAAAAUCCGGUAUGUUACAUUCCACCACAACCUCACUGGAACCAUUUAAAUGUACACCGUGACUUCAUGAUUUUAGAAGUUCGGUAUGUUACAUGGGUGGUGCUUUCCGAAGUCAUCGAAUGACCUAUUAUGUUUAUGUCACUUUUCUUGAGCAUACAUGUAUUGUAUAUAUUUAGUUGGAUAUCCAUGCAUUAUAGGGUUGAGUUUGAUAUGUCAUUAAAUUGACAUGUGGUCUAAUUAUAUGCUUUGGAAGCAAAAUACAUGCGUACAAUGGCUAGUAAACAUAGAACCCUAUAGAUGUAUGAACUUGUAUUGAACUAUGAAAUAGUUGAUAAAGUGACAUUGUGAAUAGAUGAUAUGAGUAACACUAAGUAGUGUGAAUGUUAAGCAAGGAAAACGAACUUGUGACAUUGUAAUAUACGGAAACUUGGAGUUGCGAUGUCAACUUUGAUCUAGAGGAUCAAAGUGAGGAUUGAGCUAGUUGGACAUCCUCCCCGAGUGAUUUGUGAUGCGUGUGAAUGAAUUCUGAAGAUAAAUAAGUGUUUCGGCGCAAAUUGGGUGCGAAACGAAAUGUAGAGAGAAUUUCGGAUUUCCGAUGCUAACUUUAAUUAAAAGAAUUAAAGUGAGCAAAAUAAUAUAAAAUGGUGUGAGAUACCAUUUGAUUGGACUUAAGGGUGUAAAGUAUAAGUCUGGAAUGGCUCGUGUUGAAAUCGGAGCGAAAACGGAAGAUUCAGAAUUUUCUGUAAAGAAUAGGACUGAGAAAUUAGCAGAAAAUACACAGUGUCAGAAAAUUAUGAAAAUUGGCGGAGAUGUUAGAAAUGGUUUUAUGAGGCUAGCUUUGAAGUUUCAUAUUAUUCUGACACCUGUGGAGAGAGAAUUAGCGUCCGAAAGUUAUCAGAUAAAGAUUACAGUUCGGGACAGUUCGCAGUGACCAAACGGGGUCGAAACUGAAAUGUUAAAAUUUCAGUGGACUUGUUAAGUAAAACCGAGCAUGCCUGUCGAAUUUGAGCUCAAUCAGACAUUUGGAAGGGCCUGCGAAAGGUGUCUGAUCCGAGUUGCUAAACGGGUUAGUCGAGGGGCAUUAUGGUAAUUAGCGCAUGCUUAGUGGAUUUCCACUAACCUGCCUGCCAGGGGAGCCUCCAUCCUUAUCCCCCUCUUCAGCCUUCAUACGUAGAGAGAGAGAAGGAGAAAAGAAGAGAAAAGAGAAGAAGAAGAAGAAGAAGAAGAAGAAGAAAAGAGAUAGGAAUUUAAUCUCUCCCUCUUACCCCUCUCCCUGCUGUCAGCUUCAGCAGCAGUCAGCAGCAGCAGCAGCAGCAGCCUCAGCAGCAGCAGGAGCAGCUUCAGCAGUCAGCAGCAGCAGCUUCAGCAGUAGCAGUAGCAGUAGCAGCUCAGCAGGAGCAGCAGUAGCAGCUUCAGCAGCAGCAACAGCAGCUCAGCAGGAGCUGCUGAGCAGCAGCAGCAGCAGCUUGCACAGGAGUAGCAGGAGCAGCAGCAGCAGCAGCUUGCGCAGGAGCAGCAGCAGUCAGCAGCAGCAGCUCAGCCAAGCUGCUGUCAGCAGCAGCAACAGUCAGCCAUCAGCAGUAGCUCUGCUGCAGGGAAAGAAAAGAAAGAAAGAAAGAAAGCAAGAAAAGAAAGAAAGGAAGAAAGAAAGAAAAGAAAGAAAGAAAGCAAGAAAGAAAGAAAGAAAGCAAGAAAGUAAGAAAGAAAGAAAAAGAAAAAGAAGAGAUGGAAAGAAAUGAAAGAAAAGAAGGAAUUGAAAUAAUCCUUUAUUAGGGAUUGAUGUAAGUCCUCUAAACUAAUUGUUUAAGGUUCUUUGGGUUAGUAAAGAGUUGAAAUACUCUAUGUAAUUGUGAAAUUUCAUAGAAACGGGUUUAAUAGAAAACUGCCCUCGAUAAUGCACUUUUGUAGGAUUGAAGUCCUAAUGUGAAAUUGACCGCGUACAAACCUAAUUGAGGGUAAAACAAACGCGUUGGCGAAGUCGGUUCGGCAAUCCGUCGAGCCUACGCGAAGAUAUCGCCAAAAGAGCAUUUUCGACUACAAUUGUCGGGAGCGCGGGUCGCGAUUCUCGGGAAAGUGUGAGAAGCGGAUUUCUUGCAUUCCAGUAUCAAGUAAAGGUGGGUUGUGCUUUACCGAAGUUAUUAGGUCACUUCCAUGCCAAAGUAAAGUAAGGUGUUUCUUAACGCAUGUAUGUUUAGCGGUAAUUUCUUAUUACUGAAAUGAAAGCAUGAAUCAUGUAAAUUGCCUAUUAUUAGAAUAUGUACAUGAAUGUAAUGAUAAUCAUGUGUGAUUAUUUACAUGCGAUAGACAUGCUAGAUGAUGUAUAAUGGUAAUCGGGUAAUGAACAUGCUAGCGGCAUAUGAAUAUAUUGUAGAUUGUGCUAAAUACAUAUAAUUAUCGAUAUAUGAACGUGAAUGUCACGCCCCGGGACCGGCGGAGGCCCUCCCGGUAGCGUGCCCAGACCCGCCAUAUGUCUACACAUAUAAGGCGUCUAGAAUAAAAGCGGAAGUAAAAGCAAGUAGUAAGACAAGUAGAAGAAGUGAAAUAACAAGCAACUAAUGAUAUCAGAGCGAGUAUAGUUCUAUCAUCUACACCAAGGUAAGGAAGUAAAGUUAGACAGUAAAAGGAGUCAUAAGAAGUACAAUAUCUGUCUCAAAUGUACAAAAAUGGUGGUCUCUAGUACGCUGGUAAAACACUCAACCUCUCGCAAAAUAAAACAUAAAUCGAGAGGUAGACCACCUAGCAACUCGUCCUCGAAGGAAGCUAGCUCGAGGCAGCUCCCUUCCCGCGAUCCCUGGCCUCACCCUGCGUGGAAGGCUCUGAAAAACAUCGAGAAAAAGAGGGCGUGAGAACUAUAAUUUAUAGUUCCCAGUGGGCAAUUACUGACCUCAGCUCUAUGCACCACUAGGCCCCAAAAGAAAAGGGUAAGUACUAUAAGCAAUAAUAAGAGUAAUAGCAACAACAAUACGAAAGCAUAAUUGAAGAGCUAACCGCUAUAUCUCAAGUAAACAUGAUGUCAUGGUGAUGUAUAUCUACGCUAUCAUAAGAUAAUAUGUCCAAUGCAUAAAGAGUAAGCUCUAACCAAGCAACCGAGUAUACUACAAUGCAACAAUGACAACGGCUUAGUGUGUAUAUGUACCAAUGCUAUAUCAUGAGCAUCUCAAAGUAAUAUCCAACUACUAAACCUAUCUAGUAGUGAUUAUUAAUUUCUCAACACUGUGUCGAUUCCCAUUUCCAAUAAGAACCACCAAGGUAGUCCAGCUUGUGCCGCCUAAGUGCCUGUGUAGCCCGACAUCCUACUCUUGGAAUGUGUCUGUCCACUCGACCCGUAGGCUUCUCAAUUCCGACAGAACGAAACAUAGUCCGCGUAGGUAACUCCGGAGUGCCGCUUGUAGGGAGCGACCCUCACAAGCAUGCAGUGCGAAUGAGCACAAAUGGCAAGCAAGCAUAGUCCAAGUCCAAAUAUCCAAUCCUCAUGUCUCUAACAUGGUAUGGUCACUAGCAUCACGAAGAUCUAGUUUAAGUCAAAAUGUGGAGUUUCAACAUUGUGCUACGCUAGUGCCCCUUGAUGACACUUAGGCAAUUUGAUGUUCAACAUGUAUUCAAAUCCCUCAAUGGCCCUAUCCACUAGGUUCUCACAUAUCCCGAGCUCAAUGCCGCUUGAUGACAUUAGCUCUUUAAAUCACAUACAAUUCAAGUUCGGUGACCCAAUAUGGCCAAUGUUGUUAUCUUUCUUGUCUCAAUUAAACUUAGUUUAAAUGCAUGAAUCAAACUCAUUUACACUAUAAGCAACAUGGCCAACAUAAGAAUGCUAGAGAAUCCCGCAUAAGCUUCAUAUGUACUUCUCUACUACUUAGAGGUCCAAAAUUUUCACUACAUGUGACAUGGGUAUUUUAAGCAUUCCAAAAUCAUAAUAAAUGCAUGUGACAUGAUUAUGCAUGAUUUUCCAAGUUACAAAAUAUAAUUCACCAUAUAUGAGAAUUUCUCAUAUUAUAGGCUAGGCAAACCCACCAAAAUCGAAACUCUCGACCGCCGAAUGAAGGUUCGGCAAGCUCCCUAAUACCCUAAGAGCAUCAAAAACGGGAUUACCCAAACGAAACGAAGAGCGAAAAAGCUCAAACAUUAAGCAUCUAGCAAAAUGGGCAAACUCACCUCAAGAGAAGAAAUCUCUUCCUAAGCUCCAAAAGAGAGCUAGAACCCUUCCAAUCUAAUCUAGAGGAAGGUUCUAAUCCAAC